CCUACGGGAGGCAGCAGUAGGGAAUCUUUCACAAUGGGCGAAAGCCUGAUGGAGCAACGCCGCGUGCAGGAUGAAGGCCUUCGGGUUGUAAACUGCUUUUAUAAGCGAGAAAUAUGAUGGUAACUUAUGAAUAAGGAUCGGCUAACUACGUGCCAGCAGCCGCGGUCAUACGUAGGAUCCGAGCAUUAUCAGGUGUGACUUGGUGUAAAGAGUUCCGUAGGUGGCAUAAUAAGUAGCUAGUGAAAUCUGGUGGCUCAACCAUUCAUACUAUUAGCUAAACUGUUAAGCUCGAGACCGUUAGGGGUAACUGGAAUUUCUAGUGUAGGAGUGAAAUCCGUAGAUAUUAGAAGGAACACCAAUAGCGUAGGCAGGUUGCUGGGACGGUUCUGACACUAAGGCACGAAAGCGUAGGGAGCAAACGGGAUUAGAUACCCUGGUAGUC
RNAcentral lists this ribosomal RNA (442 nucleotides) under uncultured bacterium. RNAcentral's name for it is "partial 16S ribosomal RNA". It matches the Rfam family "Bacterial small subunit ribosomal RNA", at positions 338 to 795 of the family's 1533-position model. The record is from RNAcentral.